This 491-nucleotide ribosomal RNA is filed under the name uncultured beta proteobacterium. RNAcentral's name for it is "bacterial SSU rRNA". It matches the Rfam family "Bacterial small subunit ribosomal RNA", at positions 24 to 507 of the family's 1533-position model. Lineage: Bacteria; Pseudomonadati; Pseudomonadota; Betaproteobacteria. The record is from RNAcentral.
UCAGAUUGAACGCUGGCGGCAUGCCUUACACAUGCAAGUCGAACGGCAGCGACGGGGGCAACCCUGGUGGCGAGUGGCGAACGGGUGAGUAAUGCAUCGGAACGUGUCCCGUAGUGGGGGAUAACGCCGCGAAAGCGGCGCUAAUACCGCAUACGCUCUGAGGAGGAAAGCAGGGGACCCGCAAGGGCCUUGUGCUAGGGGAGCGGCCGAUGUCCGAUUAGCUAGUUGGUGGGGUAACGGCCUACCAAGGCUGCGAUCGGUAGCUGGUCUGAGAGGAUGAUCAGCCACACUGGGACUGAGACACGGCCCAGACUCCUACGGGAGGCAGCAGUGGGGAAUUUUGGACAAUGGGGGCAACCCUGAUCCAGCCAUGCCGCGUGCGGGAAGAAGGCCUUCGGGUUGUAAACCGCUUUUAGCCGGGAAGAAAAGGCCGCUCCUAACAGGGGUGGUUUUUGACGGUACCGGCGGAAUAAGCACCGGCUAACUACGUG